Molecule: ribosomal RNA, 1152 nt
Filed under: Bacillus paralicheniformis
Lineage: Bacteria; Bacillati; Bacillota; Bacilli; Caryophanales; Bacillaceae
Description: bacterial SSU rRNA
Rfam family: Bacterial small subunit ribosomal RNA
Source: RNAcentral
UUGGGUUUGGCUAGGAUGCUAUACUGCAGUCGAGCGGACAGAUGGGAGCUUGCUCCCUGCAUGUUAGCGGCGGACGGGUGAGUAACACGUGGGUAACCUGCCUGUAAGACUGGGAUAACUCCGGGAAACCGGGGCUAAUACCGGAUGCUUGAUUGAACCGCAUGGUUCAAUUAUAAAAGGUGGCUUUUAGCUACCACUUACAGAUGGACCCGCGGCGCAUUAGCUAGUUGGUGAGGUAACGGCUCACCAAGGCAACGAUGCGUAGCCAACCUGAGAGGGUGAUCGGCCACACUGGGACUGAGACACGGCCCAGACUCCUACGGGAGGCAGCAGUAGGGAAUCUUCCGCAAUGGACGAAAGUCUGACGGAGCAACGCCGCGUGAGUGAUGAAGGUUUUCGGAUCGUAAAACUCUGUUGUUAGGGAAGAACAAGUACCGUUCGAAUAGGGCGGUACCUUGACGGUACCUAACCAGAAAGCCACGGCUAACUACGUGCCAGCAGCCGCGGUAAUACGUAGGUGGCAAGCGUUGUCCGGAAUUAUUGGGCGUAAAGCGCGCGCAGGCGGUUUCUUAAGUCUGAUGUGAAAGCCCCCGGCUCAACCGGGGAGGGUCAUUGGAAACUGGGGAACUUGAGUGCAGAAAAGGAAAGUGGAAUUCCACGUGUAGCGGUGAAAUGCGUAAAGAUGUGGAGGAACACCAGUGGCGAAGGCGACUCUCUGGUCUGUAACUGACGCUGAGGCGCGAAAGCGUGGGGAGCGAACAGGAUUAGAUACCCUGGUAGUCCACGCCGUAAACGAUGAGUGCUAAGUGUUAGAGGGUUUCCGCCCUUUAGUGCUGCAGCAAACGCAUUAAGCACUCCGCCUGGGGAGUACGGUCGCAAGACUGAAACUCAAAGGAAUUGACGGGGGCCCGCACAAGCGGUGGAGCAUGUGGUUUAAUUCGAAGCAACGCGAAGAACCUUACCAGGUCUUGACAUCCUCUGACAACCCUAGAGAUAGGGCUUCCCCUUUCGGGGGCAGAGUGACAAGUGGUUGCAUGGGUUGUCGUCCACCUCCUGUCCUGAAAAUUUUUGGGUUAAAGUCCCCCAACCCAACGGCAACCCUUGGAUCCUUAAUUUGCCAAACAUUUCAGUUUGGGCACCUCUUAAGGUUAU